ACAAACAAAAUCGGGGCUCGUUGGCAGAGCGACCGAGAGGCUAACGCAAAACACAGCCGAGGGUUGUUGUUAAAAGUCGGAUCGACCUCGAACGCCCAGCGACCAGGUCGCUAGGCCGAGGGAUCCAGGCGAACUCGCUGGAGGGUUUAUCUCUCUCAGCGCCUUGGGCCGUCGAAGCUUUCCUGCUCCGUCGCCUUAAGUACAGACGAGCUCGACCGCGACCCCGGGCUUCCGGAACGGUGGGUCGCUAAAACAAAACAAAAAGCACUCGGCAUCGUCGGGGGGAAACCUCGACGUUAUAAGCACCCGAGUAUGUACUUUCUCACGUAUACCAACAGAUUUCUUACACAAAACCCGGGAAGGCGGAGUCGGCAAGGCUCUUGCCUUUUUUUCGGGGGUCGGCCGGCGUACCUCGUUGCGCGCCGCGACCGACCGAAUUGGCAUCAUACUAUUUUGA
Molecule: unclassified non-coding RNA, 457 nt
Filed under: Magallana gigas (Pacific oyster)
Lineage: Eukaryota; Metazoa; Mollusca; Bivalvia; Ostreida; Ostreidae
Description: Crassostrea gigas (Pacific oyster) ITS1
Source: RNAcentral